GACGAACGCUGGCGGCGUGCUUAACACAUGCAAGUCGUACGGUAAGGCCCUUUCGGGGGUACACGAGUGGCGAACGGGUGCGUAACACGUGAGUAACCUUCCCACAACUUUGGGAUAACGCUAGGAAACUGGUGCUAAUACUGGAUAUGUGCUCCUUCUGCAUGGUGGGGGUUGGAAAGCUCCGGGGGUUGUGGAUGGACUCGCUGGCUAUCAGCUUGUUGGUGGGGUAGUGGCCUACCAAGGCGGCGAGGGGUAGCCGGACUGCGUGGGUGACCGGCCACAUUGGGACUGAGGGACGGCCCAAGCACCGACGGGAGGGAGAAGGGGGGAAGCUUGAACAAUGGGCGCAAGCCUGAUGCAGAAACGCCGCGGGCGGGAUGACGGCCUUAGGGUUGAAAAACGAAUUCAGCAGGGACGAAGCUUUUUGUGACGGUACCUGCAGAAGAAGCAACGGCUAACUACGUG
Molecule: ribosomal RNA, 465 nt
Filed under: uncultured bacterium
Lineage: Bacteria
Description: partial 16S ribosomal RNA
Rfam family: Bacterial small subunit ribosomal RNA
Source: RNAcentral